UGGGGGCGAAUGCCCAUCUACAGUGAUCAUUCAAUUGCCCUAGUUGUACCAAACUGAGCAUCUUCAUCCCAAUGGAUGCACUGUCCAGAGACAAUCUCACGGAGAUUGGCCAGGGAGAUAGGGGGACAUGGCGCAUGUUGUUCAGAAUAUUGGUCUUGUCCCUAACCCUAACGUGCCUUGGAAUCAAUAUAGCUACUAUAGCUAAGCUAGAUGGCAUCAACACCAACAAAGUGCAAAUAUGGACCACCAAUGAAUCGGAUAGGGUGAUCGGCUCUCUCACUAGCACUCUGAAAGUGCCCAUUAAUCAGGUAAACGAUAUGUUCAGAAUUGUAGCCUUAGAUCUGCCCCUCCAGAUGACCACACUUCAGAAAGAGAUUGCCUCGCAAGUCGGCUUCCUAGCUGAAAGCAUCAACAAUGUCCUGUCAAAGAACGGAUCUGCAGGAUUGGUCCUAGUCAAUGACCCCGAGUAUGCAGGUGGUAUAGGGGUGAGCCUGUUCCAGGGAGACUCUGCAUCUAACCUCAACUUUGAUGAACCUUACUUAAUUGAGCACCCGAGCUUUAUUCCUGGGCCCACCACUGCAAAGGGGUGUAUCCGGAUACCCACAUUUCACAUGUCUACAUCCCAUUGGUGUUACUCUCACAACAUCAUUGCAAAUGGCUGUCAGGAUGCUAGCCACUCCAGCAUGUACAUAUCACUGGGAGUCCUGAAGGCUACGAGGACUGGGUCUCCAAGUUUCUUGACAACAGCCAGCCAACUAGUGGAUGACCAACUUAAUAGGAAAUCAUGCAGCAUCAUCUCCACAACAUACGGGUGUGAUAUCUUAUGCAGUUUGGUAGUAGAGAAUGAGGAUGCUGACUAUCGGUCUGACCCGCCCACUGACAUGAUCCUUGGACGACUUUUCUUCAAUGGCACCUACUCUGAGAGGAAGCUGAACACAAGCGGAAUUUUCCAACCGUUUUCCGCAAAUUAUCCUGCAGUUGGGUCUGGGUUAGUGCUAGGGGAUGAGAUUUUGUUCCCAGUUUAUGGGGGUGUAAAGCAAGAUACAUGGUUAUUUAAUCUGCUAAAAGACCAUGGGUACUUCGCACACAACGAUGUGUACAGGUGUGACAAGAACAACACUCAUCAGACCAUUCUCAACUCGUAUCGGCCCCCAAAGAUAUCGGGAAGGCUGUGGUCACAGGUUGUUCUAAUCUGUCCACUGGGUCUGUUCAUCAACACUGACUGCAGGAUUAAAGUGUUUAACACCAGCACAGUGAUGAUGGGCGCGGAAGCCAGAUUGAUUCAAGUGGGCUCCGAUAUCUACCUAUAUCAGCGGUCAUCGUCAUGGUGGGUUGUGGGACUAACAUAUAAACUAGAUUACCAGGAGUUGUCAUCCAAAGACAGUGUUGUUCUAAACAAGGUAUCUCCGAUUGCCCAUGCAAAGUUUCCCCGACCAUCUUUUGCAAGAGAUGCUUGUGCGCGGCCGAACAUAUGCCCAGCGGUUUGUGUAUCCGGGGUGUAUCAGGAUAUCUGGCCGAUUAGUACUGCACAGAACUUGAGCCAGAUAGUUUGGUUGGGGCAAUAUCUCGAAGCAUUCUAUGCUCGGAAAGGCCCGUGGAUUGGGAUUGCAACUCAGUAUGACUGGAAAAGAAAUGUCAGGCUCUUCAAUCAUAACACCGAGAGCGGUUACUCAACCACCACUUGCUUCAGGAAUACAAAGAGGGACAAAGCAUUCUGUGUUAUAAUUUCCGAAUAUGCGGACGGAGUAUUCGGAGUCGUACCGAAUUGUCCCGCAGCUGAUAGAGGUAAGAAUAGCAGGUAAGAAGGAACUCCCCAAUUGACGGCCCUGUUAGAUGUACCAUGGUGCUAAAAGUAGAUUCAUAGUACCUUUUGCUCUACAUGUAGUUUAAUAAAAAA
RNAcentral lists this unclassified non-coding RNA (1897 nucleotides) under Murayama virus. RNAcentral describes it as "HN". The record is from RNAcentral. Lineage: Riboviria; Orthornavirae; Negarnaviricota; Monjiviricetes; Mononegavirales; Paramyxoviridae.